RNAcentral lists this ribosomal RNA (810 nucleotides) under uncultured bacterium. Its description in RNAcentral is "bacterial SSU rRNA". It matches the Rfam family "Bacterial small subunit ribosomal RNA", at positions 74 to 873 of the family's 1533-position model. The record is from RNAcentral.
GUCUCUUCGGGGAUGAUUAAACCGGCGCACGGGUGAGUAACACGUGAGUGACCUGCCUUUUAGACUGGAACAACUUACCGAAAGGUGAGCUAAUGCCGGAUGAGUUAUAUAAGUGCAUGUUUAUAUAGGAAAAGUUGGGGAGACCUGACGCUGAAAGAUGGACUCGCGUCCCAUUAGCUAGUUGGUAGGGUAAUGGCCUACCAAGGCGACGAUGGGUAGCCGGCCUGAGAGGGUGGCCGGCCACACUGGGACUGAGACACGGCCCAGACUCCUACGGGAGGCAGCAGUGGGGAAUUUUGCGCAAUGCUCGUAAGAGUGACGCAGCGACGCCGCGUGAAUGACGAAGGCCUUCGGGUCGUAAAGUUCUUUCGACAGGGAAGAAAAUGCCUAUAAGUAACUGCGUAUGUAUUGACGGUACCUGUAUAAGCAGCCCCGGCUAACUCCGUGCCAGCAGCCGCGGUAAUACGGAGGGGGCGAGCGUUGUUCGGAGUGACUGGGCGUAAAGAGCACGUAGGCGGUGUUGUAAGUCAUUAGUCAAAGACUAGAGCUCAACUUUAGUAAGGCUAGUGAUACUAUAAUACUAGAGUAUCAGAGAGGAUUGCAGAAUUCCUGGUGUAGCGGUGAAAUGCGUAGAUAUCAGGAGGAAUACCGUUAGCGAAGGCGGCAAUCUGGCUGGAAACUGACGCUGAGGUGCGAAAGCGUGGGUAGCAAACAGGAUUAGAUACCCUGGUAGUCCACGCUGUAAACGAUGGAUGCUAGGUGUUGGGCUUUUAAGUUCAGUGCCGCAGCAAACGCGAUAAGCAUCCCGCC